Molecule: unclassified non-coding RNA, 382 nt
Filed under: uncultured Orbiliales
Lineage: Eukaryota; Fungi; Ascomycota; Orbiliomycetes; Orbiliales
Description: sequence contains ITS1
Rfam family: 5.8S ribosomal RNA (bases 1-105)
Source: RNAcentral
GAAACGCGAUAGUUAAUGUGAAUUGCAGAAUUCAGUGAAUCAUCGAGUCUUUGAACGCACAUUGCGCCUUCCGGUAUUCCGGGAGGCACGUCUGUUUGAGCGUCAGCUAAACCCUUCCGGCCCUCGGCUUUUUGUCCGGGGGUACGGGCGUGCUGGCGUCAGGGGACUGAGCCCACCGUGCUCCGGCGCGGGCUGGGUCCUCCCCCGCUUAAACCCGUGGAAGCUAGCGGGCAUGGUCCCGGAUUGCGAACAACUCGUACAACCUACCGUUGCCAGCGACCCAAACCUGCCCCGCCUCCAUCUUUUUGAGAAAGGGAAUUUUUUCCCCGGACCAAUUUUUAAUCUUGACCUCAAAUCAGACGAGGAUACCCGCUGAACUUAA